AUAAUAUCCUCAUGUAUUUGAACUCUUUUAUAAAGCCACAAGCUUAAGCAGACCAUUAUACUAAAAAAAAAUAUUGAAGUAUCUUCUAGACCAAUUAGCAAAUUAGUAAAAUAUAUAUAAAUUCAUUUAUAUCCUUCCAUGAGAAAGAUAAAAUUAUGAUCCCCAAAUGGCAUAUACUCAACGGUUGCUUAAUAGUUAAAUUUUUCUCCAUUUAAUAAUUUUCCUAAUAUGAACUAUAGCCCCUUAUUUCUACUACCUUUAUUUGGACUAUUAUCUUCAAUCAAGCAAUUUAAAUCAAGUUCCUAACUUGCAAAUCUAUAGACCUAAAUACAUAAAGACUAUUUCCUCUUGACCCUGCUAUGUUGCCUGGACUUCUCUCCUUCAAUUUUUAAUUAAACUCUGGGUUAACUAGAAAUUUCUAUCUCAUAUGUAAAUAUUAAAGCAUAUAAUCUAGUUUGAGAUUCAAGGUUAUGACUUCUGAAAUAUUUUGCAAGUGUUGAAAAACCUUUCCUCUUACCUGUGGAAAUGAACUACUCACUCAAUUAAGGUGUGGGAUGAAUAAAAGCAUUUGGACCCUUAUACCAGGUUCCUAAACUCUUCUUAAAGUCCACAGGGAUGUUCCAGGGAGAAAACUUAAUAAUUCUCUUCUGGGACAGAAAAGUAACAAGAUAAUUUUGUUUUUUUCUGUGGUAAACAAGAGAAUGGUUCUGGAGCAAUGAACUACAUGAUACAAAUGGCUACAUGAAUGCACUUUGGCCUCUAGUAUAAAAUGUUUCUUCAGUGGAAAAAGAAUAUGUAUCAGAAGGGAAAAAAAAAAUCUGAUGAUACAGAACAUAGACUUAACUGUGAUACUAAAUAUCUAUGUGCCAUUGGGUUGAUGAUUUAAAUUCUUUGAAAUCCAACGUCCCCUUCCUGGGACUAUAAUCUGUUUACUUCUCUCAAAAUCCUUUAAACAUGUACAUAAUGAAAGAAUAUGAAAGCCUGAGCUAUGACAGAAUUCACAACCACUUAAUAAACAGUACUAGACUUAGUUAACUUUUAAUGUUCUAUGUGCUUCUAGGUGGUAUGAGAGAUAUAUUUAAGUUCAUUAAUUAUUUAAUAGAGGAGAUAAGAUAAAAUAUAUAGAUAGGAAGCAUUGGCAGAGGAGAUGGAACAGUAUAGAGAUAACUAUAAUAUUCUAUGUAAUGGAACAUUAGAAUAUUAGAGAUCUGACAGAGAUAAAGGUCAAAAUUUGAGCUGUGCAGGGUCUUGUCCUGUCUUGGCGACCCUAUAUAAUAAUCUGUAGACUAGUACUAGGAUAUGUACUUAAGCAAAUUCUUCAAAAAAUUAUGAAAAAUACAUAGAUGCCUAAGCUCUACACACAG
RNAcentral lists this long non-coding RNA (1364 nucleotides) under Equus caballus (horse). Its description in RNAcentral is "lncRNA (ENSECAG00000049068.1)". The record is from RNAcentral. Lineage: Eukaryota; Metazoa; Chordata; Mammalia; Perissodactyla; Equidae.